AGAGAGGAAGGACAGCUGUGAAAACUACAGCUGGAAAAUGAGUCGGAAGCACAGUAGCAUUUGGAUGCAUUUUAUUAAUAAUGUAGACAUAUGAGAUUUUGGUUUGGCAAAUUCUGCACUAAAGCCGGUUCUACGCACAACCUACACCUGCAUUUGUGAACUGUGCACCCAUCUGCGAAGCUAGCUGUUGCGAAGCUUCGAGAAACUAGCGGGCCUGCUAGUAAUAGCGGCGGAGCCAGUACCCUCAUACGUGUUUACAUUACAAAGUUAUACUUUAAUUGCAAAUGCGUAAUAUAAUUCUUUUUCAUAACAAACCAAUGCAUUUUUAAAUACAUUGUGGUUAAGGUAGAGUAUGAUUUCAUUAAAUAAUUUAAUUAGAAUUGUUUUAACACCAAUCAUAGUCAAACUAACGCAAACUGACUUGAACAAAUACAAACCAUUUUUUUUAAAGAGCCAUUUGGGAGCCUAAAGACCAGGCUCUUUUUGGUGAGCUGAGCCGAACGAGCCGGCUCACUGAAAAGAGCCGGAAUUCCCAUUACUAAUAACUAGUUUUACUUGGUAACUAACAGUGAAGACUGUUUGUUCCAGACCGAGGCAUGUGAUAGUGGCACUAAGAGUAAUUAUUGUAGAUCAUUGACACGAAGGCCAACGCCCGGGUUCUAUUGAUUACGUCUUGCAACUGGACAGUUAACCGUUUAAGAAUCAGACGGCAAACAGACAGAACGGGACCCAAGUCAAUUUGUCAAUAAACUCCUUUAAGUUAUAAAACGUUUUCCAUUUGGAGUAAACGGUUUUUGUCGCAAAACCUUUUGCAGCAGACUAAACGGUUUGCAAAAUAAUCGGUGUAAUAUUUGCCACAUACGUUUCUUUACAAAGCUCCUGUAUUUAAUGUAAGGUAAAGUUUAAAAUAAUCGGUGUAAUGAAUAUACCUCUGUGUUUACACCAUGUCGUCAUGGUGUAAUAUUUGCCACAUACGUUUCUUUACAAAGCUCCUGUAUUUAAUGUAAGGUAAAGUUUAAAAUAAUCGGUGUAAUGAAUAUACCUCUGUGUUUACACCAUGUCGUCAUGGUGUAAUAUUUGCCACAUACGUUUCUUUACAAAGCUCCUGUAUUUAAUGUAAGGUAAAGAUUUGAGUACGUGGGUUUUUGUAAUGUGGUCUUUGCCAAAUAACAUCUAGGUUACUGCCUAUUAUUGCAAUACAUAUUAUUAGACCUACAAGACCUAGACCUUUUGCUGGUCAACCAUACACUUUAGCCAUUAUGGUGAUUAUUCGGGUAGUUCUAUGGCCCACAGAGUUGCUUCAAUUCUGUCUUCCUAGAGAUGCUAAGAAACAGGUGUCAUAGAUGGAUGUGCAGGUGUCUUCAAAGGUUGAACAAUAGCAGGUCAGAGUGUGUCCCCAUUAGCCCAUUUGGUCCAUGAGAGAUCCCAGGAGACUGUUCUCUGGGGGGGCUGGAGUUCCAGCAGAUGGGCCACUAUAGACUCAUCUGCAGAAGCACACUCUGGAGAGGACUUAUCUACUGCUGUGGUGGUCAAGACACUCAGGGUAUACUGGAUCUCCUUUCAAAUGGCUUAAAACAGCCUGAGGCAAGAGUUUGUGGACGGGAUCCUUUUCCAUGGGACAAUGUGUAAACAUCUCCACCUGGUCCAGUCCAGAUGCUGUGGUGCCAGUACGAGCCACUACCCAUGUACCUGGUUCUGUAGUCCUGGCAACCUCCUGCAUUACCUAUGGACCCUGAGGAAUGGAUUCGGAGUCCUUGGAUCCACUCCAGCACUUUUCAGAGAGAUCAGUGUUUUUGGUGGCAAAGAAGAUGGCAGCUGGCCAACAUGACAAGCUGGCCAAUCAGGGGACAGCUGAUGUCCCUCUCAAAUGGCAGGUUCCAGAGAGGAUGAAGCAUCCAACUAGACAGGAGUGAUGUAUCUCUCAGGUAUGGAUGUGGAGCUUCAAGGACCGGCCUGUGUUCUCCGCCAUCAUCAAGCUUCUGGAGUCCUACACAUACCUGAUACUAGACAUCUACAUCCCAGAGGGCAUAGACAUCUUUGACUACACCAAGAGGGCAGGUGUGCUCCUCUAAAUAUCUAGCCUAAAGCAUCACAUUCAUGAAUGAAGAGGCUAAAAGCAAGCAGGGGCAGACUGGCCAUCUGGCAAAUGCCAGAUGGCUGGUCCAUUUUUAGCUCAGUGAGCUUAACUUUUUUUUUUGUUCAAAACUAUUAUCUGGCGAUAAACUAGAAAUUGGCCAGUGAGGGGGGCCUCGAAAAUAAAUGGCCUGGCGUGAUAAAUUUCUGGUCCCAGUCUGCCCAUGAAAGCAAGGAUUUGGUCCCUUACAAAGCAUUGCUGUAGUUGAUUCUAGGUUCAGGUGUACUGUACUGUGGCAUCAACAUCAAGAGAGAUUUUAUUAAACCUAGAUUAAAUGUUGUAAAUUAUUUAACAUAAGGGUGUGUAAGUAUUGUAUGGCGAAUGCAACCUAUAGCCUUAUUGUAAGAUUGUACAAAUGUUGUAGAACACUGGAGAUUUUUGGAUGAGUGAGAAUUUCAGCACAAAAUGGAUGUCAGGAAGAAAAAUCUUCUAAUGUUAUUGUCACGUCACAAUUGCUCACCUCACAUGUUUGGUCCAUCAGUAGUGAGUUCUUUUUUAAAUUGUACAGAUGUAAUAAGCGUUCUUGAUGUCAUCUUGUCAUGAAACCAGGCAAGUCAUUAUAAAUCACCACUUUUUAUUGUCAA
Molecule: long non-coding RNA, 2718 nt
Organism: Oncorhynchus gorbuscha (pink salmon)
Lineage: Eukaryota; Metazoa; Chordata; Actinopteri; Salmoniformes; Salmonidae
Exons: 5
Source: RefSeq, a predicted model, not a curated record